Molecule: long non-coding RNA, 5152 nt
Organism: Passer domesticus (house sparrow)
Lineage: Eukaryota; Metazoa; Chordata; Aves; Passeriformes; Passeridae
Exons: 4
Source: RefSeq, a predicted model, not a curated record
GAGGAGCUGUCCAAAAAAAGAUAAACAGUACAACUCUGUCAGCCACGUAACACAAAAGCAUUGUUUGCUGUAAUUUACUCCUUAAAAUGGAAGAGUUGAAUGAACAAAAGGGUGUUGUACUCUAAAGACAUGAUUGUACUGAUACAUCAUUUUUUAUAUGCAGAACAUUUUAAAGACAGAAACAGGCAAUGACAAUUUUGCUGUCUUCUUGACAUCUAAGAGCUUCAUAAAAAUGUGCAUCAACAUUAAGACAGGUUUUUCAAUGAUGUGUUUUGCUCAGCUGAAAGCCUUAUCCCCAUAGCUGACUUGAGGUUUGGUAGAGAACUGAAGACAUCUUCAGCAGGGUGUGAAAAUCUUACCUGUGAAAAGCUAUUAAAAUGUUUUGUGCCUUAUAUUUUGUUUCUAACCCCUCUCUUGCCAUGAAUAUGAUGCUGCUGCAUCAUCUUGCUCUUUGUAAUUGGUCUUAUUCUUAUUUUAAUGAAGUACAUAUCAUGAAAUUGUCACCAAGGGUGUGUUGUCUGAAGCAAAAGUGUACUUACCACCAUCAGUCAUACUGCUUCCUUUCUCUUCUGUUUCCUGCUUUACUUUCUCUAAUGUUUCUGUAAUCUUAAGAGAUUUUUUCCUUAAUUAAACCAGAUUAAUAUAGAAUUUUUAAAAAGUCUCUGCUGAAUAACUGCUUUUAUUAAAAAAAUUAACUAAUCCAUUUUACUUGUUAUAUAAAGAGGAAUGAUUUUUCAAACAUUCAGAAAUUUUUAAUUUAACUAAUUUAACUAAAUUAAUGUUGUUACAUUACAGAAAAAAUUACAGAAAAAGGGUAACAAUUUGACCAAACACCAUGGUGUUACUGAAAAAUCUGCGCAUCCCCAAUAAAAAACAACAAUAUAAGUGUUUCAGUGUGAUGCUGGAUGGAAGAACAAAGGAACCAAUAUCUCUACAGAUCAAGAUUCAGCAAAUAACCAUGCCCACUGUUCUUCUGGAAGCAUCAGGAUUGUGGCAUGUUACACUGGAAACCUAAGAAACAGCACUGCAGCAUAAGAAGGUGCAGCAGUCCAGCCUGCUGGCACUGGCACAGUCAUUACUGUUACCAGGAAAAGAAUGGAAAGAAGAAGAGGCAGAAAUACCAAAACUUAGUUUUGGUAACAGGAUACAUUUAGAAAGGGGAAAAUUAUUUCCAGCUUCAAGAUCAUAGGAAGCAUACAUGGACUCCAGGGUGGGGGCUGAGAAAAGGUGCUGUGAAUUGGCCCUGCACACCAGGAGAACAAACCAAGAAGUAUUAAGGUCCACAUUUCUGAACAAAACAAGACAUGGAGAAUUUAUGAUAUGGAGCUUAUGAAGAGACAUAGUACCUGGGACAAGCUGGAAGAUCAAAGCUACCCCAUAUUUCCUUCAGAGCUCAACAGUAUUACAAAAAUAAACCAACUAACCAACAAAACCCAAACCCUAAACCUAAAGCCUCUGACAUCAAAUGGCCCAUUAUCAAUAGUUGUAUGGUAAUUGUAUUUUUUAUGUAUUUCUUAAAGCUCUACCUUAAAAAUAGAGCUCCAUCAAAACAAAAGCCAAACCACAACGAGACCUCAACACAGCUUUCAAGAUAUUGUUUGCACAAUGUAUUUGAAGUUACAGAAUGAUGCCACAUCUUAAGUGUGCAGAAUAACACAACUGAAACUGAGGCAAUUGCUUUUUUCUUGCCCAUGAGACCACACACCAUGUUCACAUACUCUAUAAAUCUGUUAUAGUCUCAAAAUCCCCUUCUUCUGUGAGUAUGAUCACCUGAGAGCUCAUCACCCAUAAGUAACGAUGCUUUUUGUGUGCAUUAACCUUCAUUUCUCUAUACUGUAUUUCAUCUGCCAUUUUUUCACCCAGACACUUCACCCUUAUACACCUUGUCCCCCUCUUGACUCUUUUCCACCAAAGUGAAAUUUCAUCAUCCACCUCCUUUCUACACAAAUCACAAAAGCUGCAAUAACACAGGUCUUAGGGUAAAAUCCUUCAAGACUCACUGAAAACCUUGCAGCUUAUUUCUCUUUCCUCUACUUUACCCAGUUUUUAACUAACUGGGACCACUAUUUUCUUCUGGCAUGUCUGACCCCGAGUCCCCUGAAUACUUGCAAGAAAUUAAGACUAUAUAAAGACUAUCUUUUGCUAAUGGACAAUACAUAUUUGCACAGCAUUUAGAAGAACACACCACCAGAACAAGAAGACUGGUUAUCAGAAGUGAGAAGCCAGACUGUCAGAUGUCCUUGCACACCCAGCCUCACUGCCCACUGCUGGCCACCUAAUACAGGCUAUCCCUGCUAGGCUUGUCUCUGUCAGCCUCAUCAUUUUUAUUCAGAAGACUCAAAACGAAAGAACAAUCAGUGAACCGCAUCAUUAACAUUUAAUUGCUGAAAAUACUGCUAAAUUCAAUUAUGGAUACAGCUAAUAUCAAUAUACUGGCAGCAACAAUGGACUGGGAAAAAAAUUACAUUGGCAUGUAAUUAAUCCCUGUAGAACUACGAGGGGCUCUAAAACUGAGCAUCCUUCUGGUAUAAACUGCCUGGUAAUGCAAUACCUAGUAAAGGAAUAACACCUCAGUGUUUUAUUAACACACAUACAUUCCAAAGAGUUAAAAGAACACAUUAGUUAUGAAAAUCAUGGCCUAGGACAAUACCUGAGAACAAACCCAGAGAUUCUUUGAAGGAUUUAAACUGUGCUUUAGUUAACUGUUUCAUCCCCACUUCCCAAUUUAAGAAGCUUAGACCUUAACAAGAUAGAGAAAAGAGCAGACAGCUGUUUUCCUAUUUUAACCCUUUAGUUUAACAUCGAGAGUAGAUUUAUCAGUAGAAAAGAAACAAUUCUGAAUUUCUGUGUUUUUAAUGCAUAGUUAGAUUCCACUGCACAUAAGAACAUACACUCUGUCUUGAAGAGUUAAUCUUAUCUGAAAAGCAACAAAAAACCCUACAGAGAAUCUGACAAUGCAGGAAUAGAGCUGCAGGAAAAAAACUUAAACAGCUAAUUGAAAAGGCUUCUUAAACAAAGCCAAACAAAAUGAACAGUGAAUAAAUAUUUCCUCAUAGUUGACCAAUACUAAUAUACCAAAUAAACCUACUGCAACAUCCUCUUCCCAUUUACUAAGUGUUAAUUCUGCAUCAUCUUCUGUUAUUUCUUCUUCUUCUGGCUCUUCUGUUGGGUAUGCUGGCCUGAAAUUAAUUCAAAGAAGAGCAGAGUUUUUAAACACAAUAAAUUGUAAAUACCUCUGCAAACAAAACAUUUCAUGAGAAAAAUGGAUGAUAUGGAACAUACCUAGACAGUGAUUAAUUUUCACAACUGAAAUAAAUAUAUACUCUGCCUUGAAAGUCUCGUUCAUCUUGGACUGUCUUAAAAGUAAAGGCAGGACAGUACAUUUGCACUACAAAGUCAUCUAGGAAGUAAAUUUUGGGGUUUUUCUCUAUUGGUCUAAGCUCUUAAAAUUCAAGUGCAAGUCACCACAGGCUUAUUUGCAGCCUACAGUGGAAUUUGUGUACUAAAGAGAAGUAAGAGUAAAAUAUUUCCUAGGUAGAAAUUACUUUCCUAUAUCCAUUUCAAAACCCACUGGAGGAAAAUAAUAAAAUAAAGAACACUUUUAAAGAUAUUUUCAUAUACUUGAGAUUAUCUGUCAUGUAAUUUGUCCUAAGGUUUCCUUCAGAUUAAAUAAAAUUACUCUAGUCUACUUGUAACAUGAUCAUACUGUGCACAACCCAAGAAAUUUACUACUGAUUGACAGAACCUAAAAGGAUAUUACAUGUUUCAACUUAAAUAUCAGAUUAACAAGGAGUUAUGUGUAGGGAAAUAACAACAACAACAAAAAAAGUCAUCAGUUAAAUGUUAAUUAGCAAAGUCUAUAAUGGUCCAAACUCAACCUUGCUGACCACAGGCCAGUUGUGUGAAAUUGCAUUAGGAAUUAAUUGGUCACCCUGCUUCAAGCCUAGUUAACUUUCCCAUCUCAUGAAAUGUCAAGUAAAAUGUUUUUAGUCAUUCCUAUGUUUUAUCUUACCACUACAACUUACAUCUGUCUGCUGGAAAUCAAAGCAUAAGGGAGGAUGCUUAGAAGUGUACUGUACCUUUUCCAGCUAAACCCAGUGUGUUUCAAGGCUUCUUCAGCUAAACAAUCAAGAACAUAGCACACCUGCUCACCGCAGCCUGUCUUUAAUUUUGAGGGAGGAAAAUCCACAGGCCUUCCCUAAAAUAAAGAGACAGGCUGUUUACUAAUGGCCUAACAACCCAAAUUUCCUCAAAGGAAGCUCCAGUGAGGCAACAGAAGGAAAAGCAAACAAAGCCAAGGAACAGAGGCAGCGUAGAAAUCUUUAAGCAUAUGGUAAGAGCAUACUCCCAGGUAGCAGAAGAGGCAGAAGCCACAAGGGAUCUGGAUGGUCAAGCACACAAGUGACAAGGCAAAGUAAGGACAGCUACAGAGAAACUCAAGUAUUGAGACUUAACUACCAACUUUUCAACAGUGUCCUGUUUGCUCUAGAUUUUACUUCUAAAAUAUUCUAAUUUAUUGCUGUCAUGUAGAAUAAACAUAGUGGUUUGAUACAGUUUAAUUCCUUCAGAGAACAGUGUCCUUAACAUCAUUCACAGCUGCACCAGAGUAUAAUCUUCCAUAAGAUCAUACUUCUUGUCAGUUGAUAUAGUCUCCUGACCUUUGGAGUUUGGCUUUUUAUCUUCCUUUUUCUUUUUUUAAUUAAAAAAAUCUCAGUAGUUCCUGGCAGUUUGUGCAACCUUUUACUCCUUAAAAGAAAAAAAAAAGAAGAAAACACAAACACUAUUCUAAACCACUUCCUACACUAAAAAUUAAGUCAUUGACUUUGGUCAGAGCAGGAUCACAGACUGUGUAAACCUUCCAGAUGAAAUCUCUGAAAAUCAUGCUACUAUAAAUGAGCAACGUAUGUGGCACUACAAAAGGUAAGCCUAGUUUAAUCCAUUUUACAGACUGCAGAACAAAACUAACUGGAAUCAUUUAUAAGACCAUUUUUGUAGUGCUAAAAAAACAGCAAGUAGGUACAGCCUAUGUAAACUUCCAAUUAACUAAGCAACAUGGUACAAACUUACAGCUACGAAAAGUCUGUCCCGUCCUCGGGACCAGACCCAGCAGGAGGACAGGGUGUGACUGCUGUUAUUUCUGAGGGGAUUGCAG